RNAcentral lists this ribosomal RNA (433 nucleotides) under uncultured bacterium. RNAcentral's name for it is "partial 16S ribosomal RNA". It matches the Rfam family "Bacterial small subunit ribosomal RNA", at positions 29 to 507 of the family's 1533-position model. The record is from RNAcentral.
AACGAACGCUGGCGGCAUGCCUAACACAUGCAAGUCGAACGAGACCUUCGGGUCUAGUGGCGCACGGGUGCGUAACGCGUGGGAACCUGCCCUUCGGUUCGGAAUAACUGACAGAAAUGGGUGCUAAUACCGGAUAAUGUCUUCGGACCAAAGAUUUAUCGCCUUUGGAUGGGCCCGCGUUGGAUUAGCUAGUUGGUAGGGUAAAAGCCUACCAAGGCGACGAUCCAUAGCUGGUCUGAGAGGAUGAUCAGCCACACUGGGACUGAGACACGGCCCAGACUCCUACGGGAAGCAGCAGUGGGGAAUAUUGGACAAUGGGCGAAAGCCUGAUCCAGCAAUGCCGCGUGAGUGAUGAAGGCCUUAGGGUUGUAAAGCUCUUUUACCCGGGAUGAUAAUGACAGUACCGGGAGAAUAAGCUCCGGCUAACUCCGUG